This 736-nucleotide ribosomal RNA is filed under the name Bacillus sp. 17830. RNAcentral's name for it is "bacterial SSU rRNA". It matches the Rfam family "Bacterial small subunit ribosomal RNA", at positions 58 to 776 of the family's 1533-position model. The record is from RNAcentral. Lineage: Bacteria; Bacillati; Bacillota; Bacilli; Caryophanales; Bacillaceae.
CAAGUCGAGCGGACAGAUGGGAGCUUGCUCCCUGAUGUUAGCGGCGGACGGGUGAGUAACACGUGGGUAACCUGCCUGUAAGACUGGGAUAACUCCGGGAAACCGGGGCUAAUACCGGAUGCUUGUUUGAACCGCAUGGUUCAAACAUAAAAGGUGGCUUCGGCUACCACUUACAGAUGGACCCGCGGCGCAUUAGCUAGUUGGUGAGGUAAUGGCUCACCAAGGCAACGAUGCGUAGCCGACCUGAGAGGGUGAUCGGCCACACUGGGACUGAGACACGGCCCAGACUCCUACGGGAGGCAGCAGUAGGGAAUCUUCCGCAAUGGACGAAAGUCUGACGGAGCAACGCCGCGUGAGUGAUGAAGGUUUUCGGAUCGUAAAGCUCUGUUGUUAGGGAAGAACAAGUACCGUUCGAAUAGGGCGGUACCUUGACGGUACCUAACCAGAAAGCCACGGCUAACUACGUGCCAGCAGCCGCGGUAAUACGUAGGUGGCAAGCGUUGUCCGGAAUUAUUGGGCGUAAAGGGCUCGCAGGCGGUUCCUUAAGUCUGAUGUGAAAGCCCCCGGCUCAACCGGGGAGGGUCAUUGGAAACUGGGGAACUUGAGUGCAGAAGAGGAGAGUGGAAUUCCACGUGUAGCGGUGAAAUGCGUAGAGAUGUGGAGGAACACCAGUGGCGAAGGCGACUCUCUGGUCUGUAACUGACGCUGAGGAGCGAAAGCGUGGGGAGCGAACAGG